AGCUUGCGAUGUGUGACGUACAACAAUGAAUCUCAAUCAGUAAUUAUACUUGGAUAUCUUUAAAGCCUCCUCUGAUCUUAAAAUGCCCUGUGUGAUGCAAUUGGACAAAUAUCCCUUUCUUUCUAACAUUGCUAUCUCUCAUGUGAUUUUCUUGAGAGUGCUGGAGCUACCUGUGGUGUUGGAAUUCCAUCCCCCUUCUAAAUACCUCUGAGAGACAGGUGAUAAUUUGAGCUAGAAGAACAAAACAUGCUGGUCAUUGGACUGGCAGCGGAAUCCCUUCAUGUGCACAAGGGAAAAACACGCCUAUGUGGAAUAUAUCGGCCUAUUAUAAGAUAAUCCAGCCUAGG
RNAcentral lists this small RNA (347 nucleotides) under Histoplasma ohiense. Its description in RNAcentral is "hypothetical lncRNA". Lineage: Eukaryota; Fungi; Ascomycota; Eurotiomycetes; Onygenales; Ajellomycetaceae. The record is from RNAcentral.